RNAcentral lists this ribosomal RNA (589 nucleotides) under uncultured bacterium. Its description in RNAcentral is "partial 16S ribosomal RNA". It matches the Rfam family "Bacterial small subunit ribosomal RNA", at positions 355 to 1375 of the family's 1533-position model. The record is from RNAcentral.
UGGGGAAUCUUCCGCAAUGGACGAAAGUCUGACGGAGCAACGCCGCGUGUAUGAUGAAGGUCUUCGGAUUGUAAAGUACUGUCAUUGGGGAAGAACGGUUUUCUUGAAAAGAUUGAGAAGACAUGACGGUACCCAAGGAGGAAGCCCCGGCUAACUACGUGCCAGCAGCCGCGGUAAUACGUAGGGGGCAAGCGUUGUCCGGAAUUAUUGGGCGUAAAGGGCGCGUAGGCGGGCUUUUAAGUCCGGUGUGAAAGAUCAGGGCUCAACCCUGAGAGUGCAUCGGAAACUGGAGGCCUUGAGGACAGGAGAGGAAAGUGGAAUUCCACGUGUAGCGGUGAAAUGCGUAGAUAUGUGGAGGAACACCAGUGGCGAAGGCGACUUUCUGGACUGUAACUGACGCUGAGGCGCGAAAGCGUGGGGAGCAAACAGGAUUAGAUACCCUGGUAGUCCACGCCGUAAACGAUGAGUGCUAGGUGUAGAGGGUAUCGACCCCUUCUGUGCCGCAGUUAACACAAUAAGCACUCCCGCCUGGGGAGUACGGCCGCAAGGUUGAAACUUAAAUGAAUUGACGGGGUCAUAGCUGUUUCCU